This 82-nucleotide non-coding RNA is filed under the name Acidithiobacillus caldus SM-1. RNAcentral describes it as "sRNA-Xcc1". It matches the Rfam family "sRNA-Xcc1". The record is from Rfam by way of RNAcentral. Lineage: Bacteria; Pseudomonadati; Pseudomonadota; Acidithiobacillia; Acidithiobacillales; Acidithiobacillaceae.
GGCCGGGGGUGGGCGAAUACAACACCUUCGGGGAAUAACCCCGGUGCUCCUACAGCACUUUUGAGCCCCUGGCCGCCUGCGC